CCUACGGGAGGCAGCAGUAGGGAAUCUUCCACAAUGGACGAAAGUCUGAUGGAGCACCGCCGCGUGAGUGAAGAAGGGUUUCGGCUCGUAAAGCUCUGUUGGUAGUGAAGAAAGAUAGAGGUAGUAACUGGCCUUUAUUUGACGGUAAUUACUUAGAAAGUCACGGCUAACUACGUUCCAGCAGCCGCGGUAAUACUUAGGUGGCAAGCGUUGUCCGGAUUUAUUGGGCGUAAAGCGAGUGCAGGCGGUUCAAUAAGUCUGAUGCGAAAGCCUUCGGCCCAACCGGAGAAUUGCAUCAGAAACUGUUGAACUUGAGUGCAGAAGAGGAGAGUGGAACUCCAUGUGUAGCGGUGGAAUGCGUAGAUAUAUGGAAGAACACCAGUGGCGAAGGCGGCUCUCUGGUCUGCAACUGACGCUGAGGCUCGAAAGCAUGGGUAGCGAACAGGAUUAGAUACCCGAGUAGUC
RNAcentral lists this ribosomal RNA (465 nucleotides) under uncultured bacterium. RNAcentral describes it as "partial 16S ribosomal RNA". It matches the Rfam family "Bacterial small subunit ribosomal RNA", at positions 338 to 795 of the family's 1533-position model. The record is from RNAcentral.